CCAGACUCCUACGGGAGGCAGCAGUGGGGAAUCUUCCGCAAUGGACGAAAGUCUGACGGAGCAACGCCGCGUGAGUGAUGACGGCCUUCGGGUUGUAAAGCUCUGUUAAUCGGGACGAAAGGCCUUCUUGCGAAUAGUGAGAAGGAUUGACGGUACCGGAAUAGAAAGCCACGGCUAACUACGUGCCAGCAGCCGCGGUAAUACGUAGGUGGCAAGCGUUGUCCGGAAUUAUUGGGCGUAAAGCGCGCGCAGGCGGAUAGGUCAGUCUGUCUUAAAAGUUCGGGGCUUAACCCCGUGAUGGGAUGGAAACUGCCAAUCUAGAGUAUCGGAGAGGAAAGUGGAAUUCCUAGUGUAGCGGUGAAAUGCGUAGAUAUUAGGAAGAACACCAGUGGCGAAGGCGACUUUCUGGACGAAAACUGACGCUGAGGCGCGAAAGCCAGGGGAGCGAACGGGAUUAGAUACCCCGGUAGUCCUGGCUGUAAACGAUGGGUACUAGGUGUAGGAGGUAUCGACCCCUUCUGUGCCGGAGUUAACGCAAUAAGUACCCCGCCUGGGGAGUACGACCGC
RNAcentral lists this ribosomal RNA (567 nucleotides) under uncultured bacterium. RNAcentral describes it as "bacterial SSU rRNA". It matches the Rfam family "Bacterial small subunit ribosomal RNA", at positions 331 to 889 of the family's 1533-position model. The record is from RNAcentral.